RNAcentral lists this signal recognition particle RNA (292 nucleotides) under Microcebus murinus (gray mouse lemur). Its description in RNAcentral is "Metazoan signal recognition particle RNA (ENSMICG00000028031.2)". It matches the Rfam family "Metazoan signal recognition particle RNA". Rfam says of the family: The signal recognition particle (SRP) is a universally conserved ribonucleoprotein. It is involved in the co-translational targeting of proteins to membranes. The record is from RNAcentral. Lineage: Eukaryota; Metazoa; Chordata; Mammalia; Primates; Cheirogaleidae.
GCUGCAGUGGCCCCUGUACGUAGUUUCAACUACUCAGGAGGCUGAGGCAGGAGGAUGGCUUGAGCCCAGUUCUGGGCUGUAGUGUGCGAUGCCUAUCAGAUGUCCACACUAAGUUCAGCAUCAGUCUGGUGACCUCCCAAGAGUAGGGGACCACCAGGUUGCCUUAAGGAGGAAUGAACCAGCCCAGUUUAGAAAUGGAGCAGGUCAAAACUCCUGUGCUAAUCAGUACUGGGAUCACACCUGUGAUUAGCCCUUGUCCCUUAAAAACAAACAAAUAAAUAAAUAAUUUUUU